RNAcentral lists this ribosomal RNA (1271 nucleotides) under Venustaconcha ellipsiformis. RNAcentral describes it as "16S ribosomal RNA". Lineage: Eukaryota; Metazoa; Mollusca; Bivalvia; Unionida; Unionidae. The record is from RNAcentral.
GCCCAAUAAACAACACUUUUCCAUUACACCUAAAAAAAUUUUUUUAUGCCAAUAGUAUCCUAAUAAAACUUUAUAUAGCUUAACAACCGCAAGGGCCACCAACCUUCUCUGCUCACCAUAGAAAAGAUAAUAACUUCUCCCUCUUGCAUCAUGGAGGAGCAACAAAACCGUAAAAACUAUACCAUUCCCGAAUAAUUAUGAGCUACUAAAACCUAAAACUUAAUGUUUCACAAUUAAUAAAUUAGCCUUUAGUAGGAGUAACAAGCCUUUCAUAUAGUUAGAUAGCUGGUUUUCCGCAAAAAGUAUCAAAGUACUGUCCUAUAGUUUGAUUUAAACACUAAACCAUUAUAGGAAUCAACCUUUUAAGGACUAGCCUAAAAGGAAAUUAUAAUAACAACACCUUCACCACCUUUAAUGUAGGCUUAAAAGCAGUCACCCAAACAGCGUUCUAGCUAAUAAACCCCUUUAUAAUUAUAAUAUCAAAAGCAAAAUUUUAAUUAAAGCGAAAUCUAGUAUAAAAUUCAUAUUACUAACAAACAGGCAUCCUAUUAGUAUUACAACAACAAAGUAUUAAAAGUAUCAAUAAAAUUAAUACCAACAAAUAAAUCACCACCUCAACCAUACAGAGUGAACUCGGCAACAAAAUUUCCCCUGCCUGUUUACCAAAAACAUCGUCUUUUGUCAACCUAUAUAAAAGAUAAUGCCUGCCCAGUGAAAACUUUAAACGGCCGCGUUAGCGUGAGCGUGCUAAGGUAGCGUAAUAAAUAGCCUCUUAAUUGGAGGCCAGUGAAUGGCAAGACUAGGGACAUCUGUACCCUGUAUGGAAAAACAACUUUUCAUUUGGGUGAAAAGACCCACAUAAUAAAGGAAGACGAAAAGACCCCGCGGAACUUUACCUCUUCUAACAUCUACAUGCUCAGAAACAUAAAAACAAAAGGUUUGAUUGGGGCAAUCUUGGAACCACCCAAACUUCCAACUUACAACAAAAAAGUAUAUAAAACUCAAUAAGGACCAAAAGAAGUUACCCCGGGGAUAACAGCGUAAUCCAACUUGAGAGUACAAUCCACAUAAGUGCAACCGCUAUGAUAGGAUAGUCUGUUCGACUAUUAUACCCUUACACGAGCUGAGUUAAGACCGGCGCAAGCUAGGUUGGUUUCUAUCUCCUUAACUUAAUAACUUUCUUGAUUGUACGAAAGGACCCCAAGAAAUGCAGAAGACAACAAGCAUAUAAAAUUUAAACCAACUAAACCAACAUCUAAUUUCUCACGAUC